CUCCCCCCCACCGACUUUCCCUUGGUUUCAAACCCUCGGGUGGCGCCAUGCUCGCCUCCAGAGCCCUCCUCGUCCUCUCCGUCUCUGGCGGCUUCUCCCCUAUCCCCGUCCGGCGAGGGAUCUCGCGGCGCGGACUCCAUCGAGGUUCUUGAUCCCAUCUGUCAGCUAAAAACCGUAUAAGUCGAUGCCCAAAAUCACAUUCCCCUUAUUGAUCUCUCCUGGAACAUUUCUGUUCCAAGAUCGUUCGGAAAAGAGAGAGGCGGCGUCCAGUUUCAUUUGUCCCACUGCUGUUGUCCAUCCCGAUGCUUUUCCUGGGAAGACAGAUUGCACAAGAUGCACCAAAAUACAUGAUGGCUUCUGGCGAUCAAGCAGAGCUUCGUGGUUUGAAUCUGGAGUGGCUUCAACGUCAUUGAUUCGCAAGCAUGGAGUGUUCAACCACCAUACGCAAAUUUCACCAAUUCAUGGAAGCUACACCAAUGCCCUUCUACCAUGUGGCAGGAAACUCUUAUGGUGUGCAUGAAAUGGGUGCCCUCUAGCAUUACUCGUAAAUUUUAUAUUUCUUCUGUCAAAGAAAGAUCAAGACCUGGUUGCUGAUCCAUGUGAGAAGGAAUCAAUGUGCAUCCGUGAUGGAUGAUAGACAUAGGAAUUUUUCAGGGCAUUCGGUUCAAAGACAUCAGGGUAGCAGUGAUCUAUGGUUAGAGGAAUGAGAAGAGCUUACCAAAAGAUAUUCAUGUCCAGCGAUAUGAAUCCAGGAGGCCUGGAGGACUGACUUGUUGAAGUGGAAAAAAACAAAGAAUUAGCUGAAUUUCCUGCCGUGUCUUCUAUGGUGCAAUCUAUCCGCAAUUCAUUUGAGUAAAAGUUGCCGUGGAAUAUGCAAGUUCAGAAAUAGGAGUCGUUCUUGAUUUUGUUUCUCCCAUGUCCUUUUGUUUGAAAGUUUUGUAAUAUCAGAUGAAAGACAGCUUUGACUUUAAUAUCUACCUCUGGAGUACAGUUGAAAGCUUACACGUUAAAUAUUCAAAUCACAACAUGAAGAUUUUUUA
Molecule: non-coding RNA, 1040 nt
Organism: Phoenix dactylifera (date palm)
Lineage: Eukaryota; Viridiplantae; Streptophyta; Magnoliopsida; Arecales; Arecaceae
Source: RefSeq, a predicted model, not a curated record